Molecule: small nuclear RNA, 107 nt
Organism: Sciurus vulgaris (Eurasian red squirrel)
Lineage: Eukaryota; Metazoa; Chordata; Mammalia; Rodentia; Sciuridae
Source: Ensembl
GUGCUCACUUCUGUAGCACAUAUACUAAAACUGGACUGACACAGAGAAGAUUAGCAUGGCGCCUGUGCAAAGAUGACAUGUAAAUUCGUUAAGCACUCCAUAAAUUU